Molecule: ribosomal RNA, 254 nt
Filed under: uncultured prokaryote
Description: partial 16S ribosomal RNA
Rfam family: Bacterial small subunit ribosomal RNA
Source: RNAcentral
UACGGAGGAUGCAAGCGUUAUCCGGAUUUAUUGGGUUUAAAGGGUGCGCAGGUUGUUUGAUAAGUCAGUGGUGAAAGUCUGUCGCUUAACGGUAGGAUUGCCAUUGAUACUGUUAGACUUGAAUAUGGAUGAGGUAGGCGGAAUGUGUAGUGUAGCGGUGAAAUGCAUAGAUAUUACACAGAACACCGAUUGCGAAGGCGGCUUACUAAUCCAUCAUUGACGCUGAGGCACGAAAGCGUGGGGAUCAAACAGGA